GAGUUUGAUCCUGGCUCAGAUUGAACGUUGGCGGCAGGCUUAACACAUGCAAGUCGAACGAGAAAGGUCCUUCGGGGCCGAGUAAAGUGGCGGACGGGUGAGUAACGCGUAGGAAUCUACCUAGUAGUGGGGGACAACUCGAGGAAACUCGAGCUAAUACCGCAUACGACCUAAGGGUGAAAGUGGGGGAUCUUCGGACCUCACGCUAUUAGAGGAGCCUGCGUUGGAUUAGCUUGUUGGUGAGGUAACGGCUCACCAAGGCUUCGAUCCAUAGCUGGUCUGAGAGGACGAUCAGCCACACUGGAACUGAGACACGGUCCAGACUCCUACGGGAGGCAGCAGGUGGGAAUAUUGCACAAUGGGCGAAAGCCUGAUGCAGCCAUGCCGCGUGUGUGAAGAAGGCCUUAGGGUUGUAAAGCACUUUCAGUUGGGAGGAAAGGGUAACGGUUAAUAUCCGUUAUCUGUGACGUUACCAACAGAAGAAGCACCGGCUAACUUCGUGCCAGCAGCCGCGGUAAUACGGAGGGAGCGAGCGUUAAUCGGAAUUACUGGGCGUAAAGCGCGCGUAGGCGGCUUUGUAAGUCGGAUGUGAAAGCCCUGGGCUCAACCUGGGAAUUGCAUUCGAUACUGCAGAGCUAGAGUAUGGUAGAGGGCCACGCCGUAAACGAUGAGAACUAGCCGUUGGGACCCUUGAGGUCUUAGUGGCGCAGCUAACGCGAUAAGUUCUCCGCCUGGGGAGUACGGCCGCAAGGUUAAAACUCAAAUGAAUUGACGGGGGCCCGCACAAGCGGUGGAGCAUGUUGUUUAAUUCGAUGCAACGCGAAGAACCUUACCACCCCUUGACAUCCUCGGAACUUUCUAGAGAUAGAUUGGUGCCUUCGGGAACCGAGUGACAGGUGCUGCAUGGCUGUCGUCAGCUCGUGUCGUGAGAUGUUGGGUUAAGUCCCGUAACGAGCGCAACCCUUGUCCUUAUUUGCCAGCGGAUUAUGCCGGGAACUCUAAGGAGACUGCCGGUGACAAACCGGAGGAAGGUGGGGAUGACGUCAAGUCAUCAUGGCCCUCACGGGGUGGGCUACAAACGUGCUACAAUGGGCGGUACAAAGGGCUGCGAACCAGCGAUGGUAAGCGAAUCCCAAAAAACCGCUCGUAGUCCGGAUAGGAGUCUGCAACUCGACUCCUUGAAGUCGGAAUCGCUAGUAAUCGCGAAUCAGAAUGUCGCGGUGAAUACGUUCCCGGGCCUUGUACACACCGCCCGUCACGUCAUGGGAGUGGGUUGCACCAGAAGUAGCUAGUUUAACCUUCGGGAGAACGGUUACCACGGUGUGGUCCAUGACUGGGACGAAGUCGUAACAAGGUAGCCGUAGGGGAACCUGCGGCUGG
This 1380-nucleotide ribosomal RNA is filed under the name uncultured prokaryote. Its description in RNAcentral is "partial 16S ribosomal RNA". It matches the Rfam family "Bacterial small subunit ribosomal RNA". The record is from RNAcentral.